RNAcentral lists this ribosomal RNA (1138 nucleotides) under Campylobacter coli. Its description in RNAcentral is "bacterial SSU rRNA". It matches the Rfam family "Bacterial small subunit ribosomal RNA", at positions 377 to 1533 of the family's 1533-position model. Lineage: Bacteria; Pseudomonadati; Campylobacterota; Epsilonproteobacteria; Campylobacterales; Campylobacteraceae. The record is from RNAcentral.
GAAAGCCUGACGCAGCAACACCGCGUGGAGGAUGACACUUUUCGGAGCGUAAACUCCUUUUCUUAGGGAAGAAUUCUGACGGUACCUAAGGAAUAAGCACCGGCUAACUCCGUGCCAGCAGCCGCGGUAAUACGGAGGGUGCAAGCGUUACUCGGAAUCACUGGGCGUAAAGGGUGUGUAGGCGGAUUAUCAAGUCUUUUGUGAAAUCUAAUGGCUUAACCAUUAAACUGCUUGAGAAACUGAUAGUCUAGAGUGAGGGAGAGGCAGAUGGAAUUGGUGGUGUAGGGGUAAAAUCCGUAGAUAUUACCAAGAAUACCCAUUGCGAAGGCGAUCUGCUGGAACUUAACUGACGCUAAGGCACGAAAGCGUGGGGAGCAAACAGGAUUAGAUACCCUGGUAGUCCACGCCCUAAACGAUGUAUGCUAGUUGUUGGGGUGCUAGUCAUCUCAGUAAUGCAGCUAACGCAUUAAGCAUACCGCCUGGGGAGUACGGUCGCAAGAUUAAAACUCAAAGGAAUAGACGGGGACCCGCACAAGCGGUGGAGCAUGUGGUUUAAUUCGAAGAUACACGAAGAACCUUACCUGGGCUUGAUAUCCUAAGAACCUUGUAGAGAUACGAGGGUGCUAGCUUGCUAGAACUUAGAGACAGGUGCUGCACGGCUGUCGUCAGCUCGUGUCGUGAGAUGUUGGGUUAAGUCCCGCAACGAGCGCAACCCACGUAUUUAGUUGCUAACGGUUUGCCGAGCACUCUAAAUAGACUGCCUUCGCAAGGAGGAGGAAGGUGUGGACGACGUCAAGUCAUCAUGGCCCUUAUGCCCAGGGCGACACACGUGCUACAAUGGCAUAUACAAUGAGACGCAAUAUCGCGAGAUGGAGCAAAUCUAUAAAAUAUGUCCCAGUUCGGAUUGUUCUCUGCAACUCGAGAGCAUGAAGCCGGAAUCGCUAGUAAUCGUAGAUCAGCCAUGCUACGGUGAAUACGUUCCCGGGUCUUGUACUCACCGCCCGUCACACCAUGGGAGUUGAUUUCACUCGAAGCCGGAAUACUAAACUAGUUACCGUCCACAGUGGAAUCAGCGACUGGGGUGAAGUCGUAACAAGGUAACCGUAGGAGAACCUGCGGUUGGAUCACCUCCUUUCUA